RNAcentral lists this transfer RNA (91 nucleotides) under Pseudomonadales bacterium. RNAcentral's name for it is "tRNA-Ser". It matches the Rfam family "tRNA". Rfam says of the family: Transfer RNA (tRNA) molecules are approximately 80 nucleotides in length. Their secondary structure includes four short double-helical elements and three loops (D, anti-codon, and T loops). Further hydrogen bonds mediate the characteristic L-shaped molecular structure. tRNAs have two regions of fundamental functional importance: the anti-codon, which is responsible for specific mRNA codon recognition, and the 3' end, to which the tRNAs corresponding amino acid is attached (by aminoacyl-tRNA synthetases). tRNAs cope with the degeneracy of the genetic code in two manners: having more than one tRNA (with a specific anti-codon) for a particular amino acid; and 'wobble' base-pairing, i.e. permitting non-standard base-pairing at the 3rd anti-codon position. Lineage: Bacteria; Pseudomonadati; Pseudomonadota; Gammaproteobacteria; Pseudomonadales. The record is from RNAcentral. RNAcentral also lists the same sequence under 4 other names.
GGAGAGGUGCCGGAGCUGGCCGAACGGGCUUGACUCGAAAUCAAGAGUACGGGUAACCGUACCGUGGGUUCGAAUCCCACCCUCUCCGCCA